RNAcentral lists this ribosomal RNA (466 nucleotides) under uncultured bacterium. Its description in RNAcentral is "partial 16S ribosomal RNA". It matches the Rfam family "Bacterial small subunit ribosomal RNA", at positions 28 to 507 of the family's 1533-position model. The record is from RNAcentral.
GACGAACGCUGGCGGUGUGCUUAACACAUGCAAGUCGAACGGUAAGGCCCUUUCGGGGGUCCACGAGUGGCGAACGGGUGAGUGACACGUGAGUAACCUGCCCUCAUCUCUGGGAUAACAGUCGGAAACGGUUGCUAAUACUGGAUAUGAGCUUGCAAGGCAUCUUGUGGGUUGGAAAGAUUUUUUUGGUUGGGGAUGGACUCGCGGCCUAUCAGCUUGUUGGUGAGGUAGUGGCUCACCAAGGCUUCGACGGGUAGCCGGCCUGAGAGGGCGACCGGCCACAUUGGGACUGAGAUACGGCCCAAACUCCUACGGGAGGCAGCAGUGGGGAAUAUUGCACAAUGGACGGAAGUCUGAUGCAGCAACGCCGCGUGCGGGAUGACGGCCUUCGGGUUGUAAACCGCUUUCAAUUGUGACGAAGCUUUUUGUGACGGUAGCAGUAGAAGAAGCACCGGCUAACUACGUG